This 1573-nucleotide long non-coding RNA is filed under the name Homo sapiens (human). Its description in RNAcentral is "HSALNT0109419". Lineage: Eukaryota; Metazoa; Chordata; Mammalia; Primates; Hominidae. The record is from RNAcentral.
UCUCAACAUAACACCCUGUGUUGGUUUCAAGUUGGCUUCAAAUUCUCUGAAACACUUCCCAUGAAAAGGCCUAGGCUCUAAAAUACUGGCAGUUUCUACUUCCUAUUUUUUGAACACUUGCUCAUGGAAUCCAGCUGCCAUGCCAUGAAGAGGACCAAACAGCCCUACAGAGAGUCUCACAUGGAAAGGAAUCGAGGUUCCUGGCCAACAUCCCAUUUGAGCUCCCAGCCUGGACCCUAAAACACUUCCUGCAGGAUCCUCCACAUACUCUAUUGUCUGCCAGUCAGACGCAGAGGAUCCAGUGGAAUGCUCUUGGGUGUUGAGGAAUGGCAAAGCCACUACAUGAAAGAGCCUGAGUCCCUGAGGAACUGAAUAAAGCAGAUAUACCUCUCCAACCUGCACCCCCACUCACACCACCAACCUCCAAGGACAUCAGCCUGCAUUGGACUUGAUCAACCAGCAUUUCCAGGGAAGACAUGCUAAGUUGCCACCCUCUCCAACUACGAAUCUAUAGACAAGAUUCUUCCCAGCUCCAGCCACCUGUAGGUUCUGCUAAGAAGACCAAUACCCUACAUAAGAAGAGAUACUAUGUGAUAUGGAAUUAAGAGCCAUCAGAACUCAACAAUUCUGACUGCACAAUUAUUAAUGCACACUCUUCUGCCUACCUAGUGCAUAGGCUAGGGGAUAUUCAAAGAGGUCCUUAAGUUGUUGUCCUUAGCGGUCCUCCAGGCACUAUAAAGAUUGAUGACAUUUUUUUUCUUAGAAUAUUUCUGUAAAAGUUCUCAUAAGUAAAGUCUGGGAGCCUCAUUUCUAAUGUUUUCCUUUCUACAGCUGAAUUCAUGAAAAAGCAGAAUCCAAAAUUAUAUUCCUUAAAUAUACAAUAUUUUCAGUCUUUUACACAUAUUGAAGAUCUGUUAACCACCAACAGAUGUAUUAUACAGUGGUUUCCUUUGGACAAAAUUAAAGCUUUCAUCCCCAGAAUCCCUCUAGCUGCUUCAAGGUGUGCUGAGCCCAAAGCAUAAUUUAGUGUUUGCUCCACUGUGGCUAAUUAAAAUAUGCUUUAGGUGGUUCAGCUAUUUUCCCAAGCAACUUGUCCCCCUGAGUUGAUCUAGUUCUUUCCUUCCUUCCUUUUGUUUCUGUGAUUCAUCCAACAAUCAUGUUAUUUCAGAAACCACGGUGCAGAGAAUAAUCAUUAGCCAACUUUAGUUGAAAUGCAACAUUAAUCCUUAAUUUAUUCUUCUGAGGAAAGUCAUGCUUAAGCAUUCUUUCAUUCAUUUUCCAUGAAGAGCUAAGCUUUCAGCCCAAAUUGUGUCAAUGGUAGCUUCCCAAAUGAAAUUCCAGCAUGCUUUCAGACUCAGGCACCACAGGGAUGCAGGUGGAUGAGAAAAAGCUCAAUUUAAAUUGAGUUAGAAACUUCUGGACAUUACUUUCACUGAAUAACCUUGUAGUAAACCCAUCUAAUGAAAAUCAGAUCUCAUUCAGAGCAGGGAAAUUUGCUUUCCUGGAUGAAACUAAAUUGGUCCCAUAAGAUCUAUUACCCCAAGAGCUAAAGGUCCUGUCUACACAGCACUAA